RNAcentral lists this ribosomal RNA (408 nucleotides) under uncultured bacterium. RNAcentral's name for it is "partial 16S ribosomal RNA". It matches the Rfam family "Bacterial small subunit ribosomal RNA", at positions 29 to 526 of the family's 1533-position model. The record is from RNAcentral.
AGUGAACGCUGGCGGCGUGCCUAAUACAUGCAAGUCGAACGAAGUGGCGCACGGGUGAGUAAUAUAUAGUUAAUCUGCCCUACACAGAGGAACAACAGUUGGAAACGACUGCUAAUACCUCAUAGUGUAGGAUGGGACUAUAUCGUAUCAGCUAGUUGGUAAGGUAAUGGAUUAACAAGGGUAUGACGCGUAACUGGUCUGAGAGGAUGCUCAGUCGCAUUGGACCUGAGACACGGUCCAAACACCUACGGGAAGGAGCAGUAAGGAAGAUUGCGCAAUGCGUGAAACCCUGACGCAGCAACGGAGCGUGGAGGAUGACACUUUUCGGAGCGUAAACUCCUUUUAUCAGGAAAGCGGUACCUGAUGAAUAAGCACCGGCUAACUCCGUGCCAGCAGCCGCGGUAAUUC